This 433-nucleotide ribosomal RNA is filed under the name uncultured bacterium. RNAcentral's name for it is "partial 16S ribosomal RNA". It matches the Rfam family "Bacterial small subunit ribosomal RNA", at positions 29 to 507 of the family's 1533-position model. The record is from RNAcentral.
AACGAACGCUGGCGGCAUGCCUAACACAUGCAAGUCGAACGAGACCUUCGGGUCUAGUGGCGCACGGGUGCGUAACGCGUGGGAAUCUGCCCUUGGGUUCGGAAUAACAGUUGGAAACGAAUGCUAAUACCGGAUGAUGACGUAAGUCCAAAGAUUUAUCGCCCAGGGAUGAGCCCGCGUAGGAUUAGCUAGUUGGUGGGGUAAAGGCCUACCAAGGCGACGAUCCUUAGCUGGUCUGAGAGGAUGAUCAGCCACACUGGGACUGAGACACGGCCCAGACUCCUACGGGAGGCAGCAGUGGGGAAUAUUGGACAAUGGGCGAAAGCCUGAUCCAGCAAUGCCGCGUGAGUUAUGAAGGCCUUAGGGUUGUAAAGCUCUUUUACCCGGGAUGAUAAUGACAGUACCGGGAGAAUAAGCCCCGGCUAACUCCGUG